Folsomia candida is the source of this 1451-nucleotide long non-coding RNA. RefSeq lists it as uncharacterized. The transcript is spliced from 2 exons. The record is from RefSeq and is a predicted model, not a curated record. NCBI's taxonomy places the organism in Eukaryota, Metazoa, Arthropoda, Collembola, Entomobryomorpha, Isotomidae.
CUCGGACUUUCUUUUAGGAUCUUUACGUCCCGACACUCGACCUUGCUCCACUUGCUUUGCAUCUGCCCAUUCUGUCGCUCGACUCCUGCACCCGGUUUCUACACUUUGCAUGUGCAUGCAGUUUUUUCCUAACCCAUACAAAUCUCUCUUGUCUAGCAACUAGUCAACAAAUAAAUGCACAUUAUUUCAAGGCCAUGUCCAGCCUGACUUGGAUCAUCUUGAUAAUGAAGACUAUUUAAAUUCCCAAUAAAUUGUAUCUUUACGAUUUUUAAAAUAAGUAAAUACACGAGUUAGUGAUAAAUUUUACAUUUGAAUUAUCGAUCACCUUAAUACAACAAUGUUGAGCCACAAAUAGUUAUUUUAGCGAGGAAAACAUUGCUGACAUCGGUGCCUGAGUUUGAAUGCUUACUUAUUACACAAAUCCAUCCAUCUGCUGUUUGCAUAAGAAGACAGUUCGUCCAGGAAUUUAAACAAAUUCAAACAUUUAAACGUCACUCGACAGCUAGCCUUACGUGCAUUAUACUAAACAAUGGAAACUGUGGAAAUGGAACCCAUUGUUCCGUCCGCCAACAUCCCACCCACAUUUUCCAAAGAAGACGUCUCUCUCUUUAUGAGCAUUACGUCACAAAUUUCACAAAAUGGAAGAAACCCCAUUGAAACGCAAUGUCCUUACUGCCACACCCCAAUAACGACGGAACUCGUCAUAACAGAAAAUGAAGCAGCGUCUUCUGACAGGUCAACUGGCACAACGUGUAUCUGCAUUAUUGUCACCGUGCCUGUAAUCCCGGCCUUGAUAUUUGUCGCAUGGAGGACUGGACAAUGGCUGGCCGUUUUGGUGAUGGGGGCAGUGUUGUUCUCAUUCUUCGCCUUCAUUUUAUGGUGUCAAUCCUGGUGUCAAAAAAGUGGUCAUCAUUUCCACGACGUGACGCAUUAUUGUCCAAAUUGCAAAGAGAAAUUGGGAGUCAGUGACGGACAAAAGGAGUGGAGAGAGUACGCGAGAAAGAAAUAGAAUGGGUUGGAUUUUCAAUUUUACCAAUGUUUACCAAUGAUUAUUAUGUGUUACCCUCGCUGGGCAGGUUACUUGUAAUCGGAUUAAAAAUGUAUUUAUGUACAUAAUCUGAUUUCUUUGUGUAUAAUCUGAAAUUUAAAUUAUGAACAGAGAAAAUUUUAUUAUAAUUUUGUUUAAUUAUUUACUACUGACUAUAUAAAUACAUAAAGGUUAUUCAAGGGAAACAUAAAUACUUUCCAAGCCACUAGCUUUCCAAGUUUCGAAGCUACUCAAAACUAGAUAUUUGGGCAGCUCUUUUUUUAAAUUCUAGAUAUGUACUUAUGCACUAAGCAUGUUUGUAUGAAUAUUAUCUACAUGACGUAUGUACUUGAUAUGUGUCGUCUGCUUGUACAUAUGUCCUACCUAUUUCAGUUUCUAAUAAAAAAUAUUGCAUAAAACCAGA